This 468-nucleotide long non-coding RNA is filed under the name Nicotiana benthamiana. RNAcentral's name for it is "long non-coding RNA (NBEN_LNC018120)". The record is from RNAcentral. Lineage: Eukaryota; Viridiplantae; Streptophyta; Magnoliopsida; Solanales; Solanaceae.
GUGUGUAUGGCUGUAUGUAAGGUAUUUUUGGCGGGAGGGAGAUGAGUGUCGCGUUUUUGUGACAGAAUGAAACAGAGAAGAUCGACACUGCUGUGCGUGCGAUCUGCAGCCGGUUGAAAGGAUGACUGAGACCUGCGACAUGAAGAAGCAGCAAUGCUACUUGUGACGACGUCUGUUCAUAGGGGUGUUCGGACGGUUACUGUUGGAUUCCUACAAGUUUUGGUGGUGAUCUACGGCGAUUCCGAGUUUGUUGGUCUUCUGCUGGAGUUCGUUUUUUCGGCGAGCUUUGGUUGGAGACGGGUCUGGUGAGAAAGGUAACAGUAUGGGGUGAUGGUUUUGGAGUUGCUGCUGGUCGGUGUGGUGAUGUUGAGAUGGUGGGAGGAGUUGAAGAAGUUGCGUGAUUGGUUUUCCGGGGAGGGUCGUUUGGGUUGAAAUUGUAGAACACCGGAGAUAGUCUUUUUUGUGUCC